UGAACGCUGGCGGCAGGCCUAACACAUGCAAGUCGAACGGUAACAGGAAGAAGCUUGCUUCUUUGCUGACGAGUGGCGGACGGGUGAGUAAUGUCUGGGAAACUGCCUGAUGGAGGGGGAUAACUACUGGGAACGGUAGCUAAUACCGCAUAACGUCGCAAGACCAAAGAGGGGGACCUUCGGGCCUCUUGCCAUCGGAUGUGCCCAGAUGGGAUUAGCUAGUAGGUGGGGUAACGGCUCACCUAGGCGACGAUCCCUAGCUGGUCUGAGAGGAUGACCAGCCACACUGGAACUGAGACACGGUCCAGACUCCUACGGGAGGCAGCAGUGGGGAAUAUUGCACAAUGGGCGCAAGCCUGAUGCAGCCAUGCCGCGUGUAUGAAGAAGGCCUUCGGGUUGUAAAGUACUUUCAGCGGGGAGGAAGGGAGUAAAGUUAAUACCUUUGCUCAUUGACGUUACCCGCAGAAGAAGCACCGGCUAACUCCGUG
This 488-nucleotide ribosomal RNA is filed under the name uncultured bacterium. Its description in RNAcentral is "partial 16S ribosomal RNA". It matches the Rfam family "Bacterial small subunit ribosomal RNA", at positions 30 to 507 of the family's 1533-position model. The record is from RNAcentral.